RNAcentral lists this transfer RNA (107 nucleotides) under Corynespora cassiicola Philippines. RNAcentral describes it as "tRNA-Gly". It matches the Rfam family "tRNA". Rfam says of the family: Transfer RNA (tRNA) molecules are approximately 80 nucleotides in length. Their secondary structure includes four short double-helical elements and three loops (D, anti-codon, and T loops). Further hydrogen bonds mediate the characteristic L-shaped molecular structure. tRNAs have two regions of fundamental functional importance: the anti-codon, which is responsible for specific mRNA codon recognition, and the 3' end, to which the tRNAs corresponding amino acid is attached (by aminoacyl-tRNA synthetases). tRNAs cope with the degeneracy of the genetic code in two manners: having more than one tRNA (with a specific anti-codon) for a particular amino acid; and 'wobble' base-pairing, i.e. permitting non-standard base-pairing at the 3rd anti-codon position. Lineage: Eukaryota; Fungi; Ascomycota; Dothideomycetes; Pleosporales; Corynesporascaceae. The record is from RNAcentral.
GCAUCGGUGGUUUAGUGGUAAAAUUAGCCGUUGCCAUAAGAAGAAUCGGGCCAACACCUGAAUCUUCCAAGCUCGGCUAGCCCCGGGUUCGAUUCCCGGCCGAUGCA